RNAcentral lists this transfer RNA (71 nucleotides) under Loxodonta africana (African savanna elephant). It matches the Rfam family "tRNA". Rfam says of the family: Transfer RNA (tRNA) molecules are approximately 80 nucleotides in length. Their secondary structure includes four short double-helical elements and three loops (D, anti-codon, and T loops). Further hydrogen bonds mediate the characteristic L-shaped molecular structure. tRNAs have two regions of fundamental functional importance: the anti-codon, which is responsible for specific mRNA codon recognition, and the 3' end, to which the tRNAs corresponding amino acid is attached (by aminoacyl-tRNA synthetases). tRNAs cope with the degeneracy of the genetic code in two manners: having more than one tRNA (with a specific anti-codon) for a particular amino acid; and 'wobble' base-pairing, i.e. permitting non-standard base-pairing at the 3rd anti-codon position. Lineage: Eukaryota; Metazoa; Chordata; Mammalia; Proboscidea; Elephantidae. The record is from Rfam by way of RNAcentral.
GCAUUGGUGGGUCAAUGGUAGAAUUCUCACCUUCCAUGCAAGAGACCUGGGUUCCAUUCCCGGCCAGUGCA